AACGCUAUUAAGGCAAAACUGUCUAAGAUGCUGCGACAGGGGUGUCGUAUUUGUUCUUGUCUAUUCAAUAUCUGAUAUGUUCUCUAUUCGAUGACUCUAUAUUAAAUGGAUUUUUAGAGCUGAAAGAGGUGCUUGCUCCAUCCACUCCACACAUCAACCUGGUAUUACAGUACCUCCAGGAAGGAUGCACCUUCU
This is a small nuclear RNA of Pangasianodon hypophthalmus (striped catfish), 195 nucleotides long. RefSeq annotates it as U2 spliceosomal RNA. The transcript has a single exon. The record is from RefSeq and is a predicted model, not a curated record. NCBI's taxonomy places the organism in Eukaryota, Metazoa, Chordata, Actinopteri, Siluriformes, Pangasiidae.